AUUAACGCUGGCGGCAGGCCUAACACAUGCAAGUCGAGCGGUAACAGAAAGUAGCUUGCUACUUUGCUGACGAGCGGCGGACGGGUGAGUAAUGCCUAGGGAUCUGCCCAGUCGAGGGGGAUAACAGUUGGAAACGACUGCUAAUACCGCAUACGCCCUACGGGGGAAAGGAGGGGACCUUCGGGCCUUUCGCGAUUGGAUGAACCUAGGUGGGAUUAGCUAGUUGGUGAGGUAAUGGCUCACCAAGGCGACGAUCCCUAGCUGUUCUGAGAGGAUGAUCAGCCACACUGGGACUGAGACACGGCCCAGACUCCUACGGGAGGCAGCAGUGGGGAAUAUUGCACAAUGGGGGAAACCCUGAUGCAGCCAUGCCGCGUGUGUGAAGAAGGCCUUCGGGUUGUAAAGCACUUUCAGUUGUGAGGAAAGGGUGUUGCUUAAUACGCAACAUCUGUGACGUUAGCAACAGAAGAAGGACCGGCUAACUCCGUGCCAGCAGCCGCGGUAAUAC
Molecule: ribosomal RNA, 508 nt
Filed under: uncultured marine bacterium
Lineage: Bacteria
Description: bacterial SSU rRNA
Rfam family: Bacterial small subunit ribosomal RNA
Source: RNAcentral